GGGUGCUUUCCAGCUAUGAAACAUUGUGUCGUCACUGUGUGACACUGUGUUACACAAGUCGAGUUGUAGCUGGAACGCUGUUUUUACUGCCAAAAAGCAGACCAGUAACAAAAAGUUUGUGAUUUAAUAAUGGAAGCUGAAAAAAUAUAUGUACUGCAGUGUUUGCAAAUAAAUUUCACUACUGUAAUUGGAAAAUUAUAUAAUUAUUAAUUGUUAAUUUAUGUAAAUUCUUAAUUGUAAUAGAAUGUAAUAUUUAAUAUUAAUAGUUAACACGAUUAACAUGUGUGAAAGAUAGUAAUAAUUAAUAGUAAUUUAUCAAUAUAUAUUAAUUAUUGUAUUAUGUACAUUUGUAAUUGUAAUAAAUAAUAAAAUAAAAUACGCAUUAAA
Molecule: long non-coding RNA, 387 nt
Organism: Monomorium pharaonis (pharaoh ant)
Lineage: Eukaryota; Metazoa; Arthropoda; Insecta; Hymenoptera; Formicidae
Exons: 2
Source: RefSeq, a predicted model, not a curated record